Molecule: ribosomal RNA, 783 nt
Filed under: Triticum aestivum (bread wheat)
Lineage: Eukaryota; Viridiplantae; Streptophyta; Magnoliopsida; Poales; Poaceae
Description: partial small subunit ribosomal RNA
Source: RNAcentral
AUGGCCAUCCCGCUCCAGGCGAAGAAGCAGCAGGAGAACGGAAGCAAGGGCGGCCAAGGCAGCGACGUGGACGGCGGCGACGACAACCCUUCGGCGGCGGAGGAGCUGCGGGAGCUGUGGCGCAUGGCGGCGCCGAUCACGGCGCUCAACUGCGUGGUGUACCUGCGCGCCAUGGUGUCCGUGCUCUGCCUGGGUCGGCUCGGCCCGCUCGACCUCGCCGGCGGCGCGCUCGCGAUCGGGCUCACUAACAUCACGGGCCACAGCGUGCUCUUCGGCCUCGCGUCCGGGUUGGAGCCGCUUUGUGCCCAGGCCUACGGCUCCCGCAACUACGACCUGCUCACGCUCUCCCUCCACCGCGCCGCAUACGCCGCGUGGGCGCUCCCGGACCUCGCCGCGCUGGCCGUGCUCCAGCCGCUUCGCGUCUACCUUAGGUCCCAGGGCAUCACCAAGCCCAUGGCCGCCUGCUCCGCGGCCGCCGUCGCGCUGCACAUCCCGCUCAACUUCCUCCUCGUCUUCCGCAUGGGCUUCGGCGUGCGCGGCGUCGCGGCCGCGCAGGCGCUCACCAACACCAACAUGGUGCUCUUCCUGCUCGCCUACGUGCGGUGGGCGGCCGCGUGCGAUGACACGUGGAGGGGCUUCGCGCGGCCCGCCGCCGUAGCCAGCGGGCUCGGCGGCCUCGUCCGCCUCGCCGUGCCCAGCUGCAUCGGCGUCUGCCUCGAGUGGUGGUGGUACGAGGUCGUCACCGUGCUCGCCGGCUACCUCCAGAACCCCACCGCCGCCUGA